This 253-nucleotide ribosomal RNA is filed under the name uncultured bacterium. Its description in RNAcentral is "partial 16S ribosomal RNA". It matches the Rfam family "Bacterial small subunit ribosomal RNA", at positions 524 to 776 of the family's 1533-position model. The record is from RNAcentral.
UACGUAGGGUGCAAGCGUUAAUCGGAAUUACUGGGCGUAAAGCGUGCGCAGGCGGUGAUGUAAGACAGUUGUGAAAUCCCCGGGCUCAACCUGGGAACUGCAUCUGUGACUGCAUCGCUGGAGUGCGGCAGAGGGGGAUGGAAUUCCGCGUGUAGCAGUGAAAUGCGUAGAUAUGCGGAGGAACACCGAUGGCGAAGGCAAUCCCCUGGGCCUACACUGACGCUCAUGCACGAAAGCGUGGGGAGCAAACAGG